This 253-nucleotide ribosomal RNA is filed under the name uncultured bacterium. RNAcentral describes it as "partial 16S ribosomal RNA". It matches the Rfam family "Bacterial small subunit ribosomal RNA", at positions 524 to 776 of the family's 1533-position model. The record is from RNAcentral.
UACGAAGGGGGCUAGCGUUGCUCGGAAUCACUGGGCGUAAAGGGCGCGUAGGCGGCGUUUUAAGUCGGGGGUGAAAGCCUGUGGCUCAACCACAGAAUGGCCUUCGAUACUGGGACGCUUGAGUAUGGUAGAGGUUGGUGGAACUGCGAGUGUAGAGGUGAAAUUCGUAGAUAUUCGCAAGAACACCGGUGGCGAAGGCGGCCAACUGGACCAUCACUGACGAUGAGGCGCGAAAGCGUGGGGAGCAAACAGG